This 500-nucleotide ribosomal RNA is filed under the name uncultured bacterium. RNAcentral describes it as "bacterial SSU rRNA". It matches the Rfam family "Bacterial small subunit ribosomal RNA", at positions 28 to 510 of the family's 1533-position model. The record is from RNAcentral.
GAUGAACGCUAGCGGCAGGCUUAAUACAUGCAAGUUGAGGGGCAGCAUGAUAUACGCGAGUAUAUUGAUGGCGACCGGCGGACGGGUGAGUAAUAGGUAGGAGACCUACCUCAUACAGGGGGAUAGCAUAGAGAAAUCUGUGGUAAUACCCCAUGAGGUUAUAUGAAUAGAGGCAUAUAAUCAAAGCAUAAGCGAUUAUGCGGUAUGAGAGGGGCCUACUGACCAUUAGCUAGUUGGUGAGGUAAGGGCUCACCAAGGCGAAGAUGGUUAGGGGUUUUGAGAGAGAGACCCCCCACAUUGGAACUGAGAGACGGUCCAGACUCCUACGGGAGGCAGCAGUAGGGAAUAUUGGGCAAUGGGCGAAAGCCUGACCCAGCCAUGCCGCGUGAAGGAAGACGGCCUUAUGGGUUGUAAACUUCUUUACUACGCGAAUAGAGGUUAGUACGAGAUACUAAUAGGAAGGUAGUGUAGUAAAAAGCAACCGGGCUAACUCCGUGACC